GGCGAGUGGCGAACGGGUGAGUAAUAUAUCGGAACGUACCCAAGAGUGGGGGAUAACGUAGCGAAAGUUACGCUAAUACCGCAUACGAUCUAUGGAUGAAAGUGGGGGAUUCGCAAGAACCUCAUGCUCCUGGAGCGGCCGAUAUCUGAUUAGCUAGUUGGUAGGGUAAAAGCCUACCAAGGCAUCGAUCAGUAGCUGGUCUGAGAGGACGACCAGCCACACUGGAACUGAGACACGGUCCAGACUCCUACGGGAGGCAGCAGUGGGGAAUUUUGGACAAUGGGCGCAAGCCUGAUCCAGCAAUGCCGCGUGAGUGAAGAAGGCCUUCGGGUUGUAAAGCUCUUUUGUCAGGGAAGAAACGGUGGGGGCUAAUAUCCUCCACUAAUGACGGUACCUGAAGAAUAAGCACCGGCUAACUACGUGCCAGCAGCCGCGGUAAUACGUAGGGUGCAAGCGUUAAUCGGAAUUACUGGGCGUAAAGCGUGCGCAGGCGGUUUUGUAAGCUUGUCGUGAAAUCCCCGGGCUCAACCUGGGAAUGGCGAUGAAGA
RNAcentral lists this ribosomal RNA (548 nucleotides) under uncultured Oxalobacteraceae bacterium. RNAcentral describes it as "bacterial SSU rRNA". It matches the Rfam family "Bacterial small subunit ribosomal RNA", at positions 90 to 632 of the family's 1533-position model. Lineage: Bacteria; Pseudomonadati; Pseudomonadota; Betaproteobacteria; Burkholderiales; Oxalobacteraceae. The record is from RNAcentral.